GACGGCGCAGUUCUGCUAAUAUCUAACAUGCAUCUUGCCUUUUACCAGACGCAUCCAUGGUAGACUGCACAAUGCCGCAUUCUUAAUCUUUGGAACCCUCUUCAAGAUUGGAGAUU
Non-coding RNA from Hortaea werneckii EXF-2000, 116 nucleotides. The record is from Rfam. NCBI's taxonomy places the organism in Eukaryota, Fungi, Ascomycota, Dothideomycetes, Mycosphaerellales, Teratosphaeriaceae.